AAUUUUACAGCUUGCCUUUCUUACAGAAACCUGCAUGCAAAAGCAGCUGGCUGCCUUUUUGCGGCUCAAGCCAUUCUGAGAAGGGUGGGAGGGACAGGAACAAGGGAGCUUAGUGCUCAGAAGGAGGUGCUGGGCUUAGCAUGCACCAAGGUCCAAGAAAAAGGAACUUUUUGCCACUUUUCCCAGCAGCUGAUAAAAGAGUUCCUCCAGAUAAUACCAUUGAAGAAAAUUGUCCUCCUUCACAUUGGGAUGGGGGGGAAACCAUAAUAAGAAUUGAGAGACUCAAAGAAUACUGAUGUAAAUUGUUAUCCCUUUAGGAUUUAAACUUUCACUGUUGGUUUUAUCCUUUUAUCUUUUUAUCUCCUGUGGAGAAAAGAGAACCAGUGGAAGCCAAAGAGAAACAGUGGAAGCUGCUUUUAUGAGCUCUCAUAGUGCCACAAUUCACUCUUCACAGCAUUCUCUGGUAGGAGAAGUUACAUCAGGGGAUGUUCUCAUUAGCUGCACUAGGUCUGGCACCACGGAGCAGCACCCCUAUGGACUCACUGCAGUCGUGUCCCUCUCAUGCCACAGCUGCCCCGCGGUGGGCUUGGAUUAAGGAUAUUCUGAGUUUCCCUGGACACUCUGAAGAAGGAUUCCAGCUCAGUUUAUAUGGGAUACUCUUUUUUGAGGAAGCAGCCUUGCCUUUUUGAUGCACCAUGCCUAAUUCUAGACAGAACAAUACCGCUGGAGCUGCAAUUUCUUGAUCACCAAACCUCCAAAACAGAGAAGAAGGUUGCCUUGGGAAGAGAUGCUGAAUGGUGCCUUGGCAAGCCCUCCCAACCUCUCAAAAUGUGCAAUGGGCAGAAAAAGUGACCUAUUCUUACAGCAACCUGGAUAAAGUCCAGAAUGUCUGAUUUCCAGCUCACUGUAACAACACUCCAAAAGGCCAGCUAAUUUGGAUGAACACUGGCAUCUUAAUAUUUAUUUUCCAUAUAGCCUCAGCCGCAGGUCUUUCCAUGUCAGAACUUCCUCAAUGAACUGGAAACUUCUUGUUUUGGUUCACAGACAUUAAACAAUUCAUAUUGUUCCAUUUCUAACAAUGUCUUUCCUGGUAAGUCAAGCCCAAAGAUAAGCCAUAUAUUAAACUUCAGGCUAAAACACUGUGUGCCAGUGCAGCCAGCUCACCAGCAGGUUGUGGGUCCCUUUGUGCUUAGGUGAUAACAAAU
This is a non-coding RNA of Lonchura striata (white-rumped munia), 1205 nucleotides long. Lineage: Eukaryota; Metazoa; Chordata; Aves; Passeriformes; Estrildidae. The record is from RefSeq and is a predicted model, not a curated record.